UACAGAGGUCUCAAGCGUUGUUCGGAUUCAUUGGGCGUAAAGGGCGCGUAGGCUGCGGGGCAAGUCGGGUGUGAAAUCUCAGAGCUCAACUCUGAAACUGCACUCGAUACUGCUUUGCUCGAGGACUGGAGAGGAGAUUGGAAUUCACGGUGUAGCAGUGAAAUGCGUAGAUAUCCGGAAGAACACCAGUGGCGAAGGCGGUUAGCUGGGCAGUUGCUGACACUGAUGCGCGACAGCGUGGGGAGCAAACAGG
This 253-nucleotide ribosomal RNA is filed under the name uncultured bacterium. Its description in RNAcentral is "partial 16S ribosomal RNA". It matches the Rfam family "Bacterial small subunit ribosomal RNA", at positions 524 to 776 of the family's 1533-position model. The record is from RNAcentral.